GGAGGAGGAUCGCCACCGGUGUGCGCGGCCGGACUUCAAAUCCGGGUGGGGCCGUCAGACGGCUUCAGGUGGGUUCGACUCCCAUCCUCCUCCGCCA
This 97-nucleotide transfer RNA is filed under the name Hyphomicrobiaceae bacterium. RNAcentral describes it as "tRNA-Sec". It matches the Rfam family "Selenocysteine transfer RNA". Lineage: Bacteria; Pseudomonadati; Pseudomonadota; Alphaproteobacteria; Hyphomicrobiales; Hyphomicrobiaceae. The record is from RNAcentral.